GUAGGGAAUCUUCGGCAAUGGACGAAAGUCUGACCGAGCAACGCCGCGUGAGUGAAGAAGGUUUUCGGAUCGUAAAACUCUGUUGGUAGAGAAGAACGUUGGUGAGAGUGGAAAGCUCAUCAAGUGACGGUAACUACCCAGAAAGGGACGGCUAACUACGUGCCAGCAGCCGCGGUAAUACGUAGGUCCCAAGCGUUGUCCGGAUUUAUUGGGCGUAAAGCGAGCGCAGGUGGUUUCUUAAGUCUGAUGUAAAAGGCAGUGGCUCAACCAUUGUAUGCAUUGGAAACUGGUAGAAUUGAGUGCAGGAGAGGAGAGUGGAAUUCCAUGUGUAGCGGUGAAAUGCGUAGAUAUAUGGAGGAACACCGGUGGCGAAAGCGGCUCUCUGGCCUGUAACUGACACUGAGGCUCGAAAGCGUGGGGAGCAAACAGGAUUAGAUACCCUAGUAGUCC
RNAcentral lists this ribosomal RNA (450 nucleotides) under uncultured bacterium. Its description in RNAcentral is "partial 16S ribosomal RNA". It matches the Rfam family "Bacterial small subunit ribosomal RNA", at positions 354 to 796 of the family's 1533-position model. The record is from RNAcentral.